This 1353-nucleotide ribosomal RNA is filed under the name uncultured Chloroflexota bacterium. Its description in RNAcentral is "uncultured Chloroflexi bacterium partial 16S ribosomal RNA". It matches the Rfam family "Bacterial small subunit ribosomal RNA", at positions 17 to 1380 of the family's 1533-position model. Lineage: Bacteria; Bacillati; Chloroflexota. The record is from RNAcentral.
UCCUGGCUCAGGAUGAACGCUAGCGGCAGGCCUAACACUUGCAAGUCGAGGGGUAACAGAGGUAGCUUGCUACUUGCUGACGACCGGCGCACGGGUGCGUAACGCGUAUACAAUCUACCCAUUACUAAGGGAUAGCCCAUGGAAACGUGGAUUAAUACCUUAUGGUAUUUAAGGAUCGCCUGGUUUUUAAAUUAAAGGUUACGGUAAUGGAUGAGUAUGCGUCCUAUUAGCUAUUAUGUAGGGUAACGGCCUACAUAGGCGAUGAUAGGUAGGGGUUCUGAGAGGGAGAUCCCCCACACUGGUACUGAGACACGGACCAGACUCCUACGGGAGGCAGCAGUGAGGAAUAUUGGACAAUGGGAGCAAUCCUGAUCCAGCCAUGCCGCGUGCAGGAAGACGGUCCUAUGGAUUGUAAACUGCUUUUAUACAGGAAGAAAAAGGAGUACGUGUACUCCAUUGACGGUACUGUAUGAAUAAGGAUCGGCUAACUCCGUGCCAGCAGCCGCGGUAAUACGGAGGAUCCGAGCGUUAUCCGGAAUUAUUGGGUUUAAAGGGUCCGUAGGCGGUUUGGUAAGUUGUGCGUGAAAGCCUCGUGCUCAACGCGAGGAAGCCGGACAAUACUGUCAAGCUAGAGGGCAUCAGAGGGGAGUGGAAUUCCCGGAGUAGCGGUAAAAUGCGCAGAUAUCGGGAGGAACACCGAUGGCGAAGGCAGCUCCCUGGGGUGUACCUGACGCUGAGGGGCGAAAGCUAGGGGAGCGAACAGGAUUAGAGACCCUGGUAGUCCCAGCUGUAAACGCUGGGUGCUAGGUGUGGGGCGUAGAAGCUCUGUGCCGCAGCAAACGCGAUAAGCAUCCCGCCUGGGAAUUACGGUCGCAAGGCUAAAACUCAAACGAAUUGACGGGGCCCCGCACAAGCAGCGGAGCGUGUGGUUCAAUUCGAUGCUACACGAAGAACCUUACCUGGGUUUGACAUGUACGUGGUAGAGAAGCGAAAGCGGAUUGACCCUUCGGGGAGCGUACACAGGUGCUGCAUGGCUGUCGUCAGCUCGUGCCGUGAGGUGUCGGGUUAAGUCCCGUAACGGGCGCAACCCUUGCCCUUAGUUACAAGUGUCUAGGGGGACUGCCGGCGGGAAGCCGGAGGAAGGUGGGGAUGACGUCAAGUCAGCAUGGCCCAUAUGUCCAGGGCUACACACACGCUACAAUGGUCGGUACAAAGGGUAGCGAAGCCGCGAGGCGGAGCGAAUCUCAUCAAAGCCGGUCGUAGUUCGGAUUGCAGGCUGCAACCCGCCUGCAUGAAGCUGGAGUUGCUAGUAACCGCGCGUCAGCCAUAGUGCGGUGAAUACGUACCCGGGGC